Molecule: ribosomal RNA, 404 nt
Filed under: Actinomycetes bacterium
Lineage: Bacteria; Bacillati; Actinomycetota; Actinomycetes
Description: Actinobacteria bacterium partial 16S ribosomal RNA
Rfam family: Bacterial small subunit ribosomal RNA
Source: RNAcentral
UGGGGAAUAUUGGACAAUGGGCGCAAGCCUGAUCCAGCCAUGCCGCGUGAGUGAUGAAGGCCCUAGGGUUGUAAAGCUCUUUCACCGGUGAAGAUAAUGACGGUAACCGGAGAAGAAGCCCCGGCUAACUUCGUGCCAGCAGCCGCGGUAAUACGAAGGGGGCUAGCGUUGUUCGGAUUUACUGGGCGUAAAGCGCACGUAGGCGGACUUUUAAGUCAGGGGUGAAAUCCCGGGGCUCAACCCCGGAACUGCCUUUGAUACUGGAAGUCUUGAGUAUGGUAGAGGUGGGUGGAAUUCCGAGUGUAGAGGUGAAAAUCGUAGAUAUUCGGAGGAACACCAGUGGCGAAGGCGGCUCACUGGACCAUUACUGACGCUGGGGUGCGAAAGCGUGGGGAGCAAACAGG